AACGAGCGCUGGCGGCAGGCCUAACACAUGCAAGUCGAGCGAGCAUUUCGGUGCUAGCGGCGGACGGGUGAGUAACGCGUGGGAACGUGCCCUUUUCUGCGGAAUAGUCCUGGGAAACUGGGGGUAAUACCGCAUACGCCCUUUUGGGGAAAGAUUUAUCGGAGAAGGAUCGGCCCGCGUUGGAUUAGGUAGUUGGUGGGGUAAUGGCCCACCAAGCCGACGAUCCAUAGCUGGUUUGAGAGGAUGAUCAGCCACACUGGGACUGAGACACGGCCCAGACUCCUACGGGAGGCAGCAGUGGGGAAUCUUAGACAAUGGGGGCAACCCUGAUCUAGCCAUGCCGCGUGAGUGAUGAAGGCCUUAGGGUUGUAAAGCUCUUUCAGCUGGGAAGAUAAUGACGGUACCAGCAGAAGAAGCCCCGGCUAACUCCGUG
This 433-nucleotide ribosomal RNA is filed under the name uncultured bacterium. RNAcentral's name for it is "partial 16S ribosomal RNA". It matches the Rfam family "Bacterial small subunit ribosomal RNA", at positions 29 to 507 of the family's 1533-position model. The record is from RNAcentral.